AGAUCAUCGUCGAGCUGUACGUGUGCUGAACGCGGAGGUGUCGUCCGUUCGGCACUAGAUCAGAACGGAUCAUGAGACAGAUCACAAGACGGUUCGUGAGAUGGAUCGCGAGAUGGUUCGUGGGACGGAUCGCGAGACGAAUCGCGGGACGGUUCGUGAGGCGGUUCGUGGGGCGGUUCGAGGGACGUGAAGACGUUCCACUACAUCAACCGUGUUUCUUAACGCUUCCUACUAUGCGAUCUACAAGGGUACGUAGAUCCAAAUCUCCUCUCGUAGAUGGACAUCACCAUGAUAGGUCUUCGUGUGCGUAGGAAAUUUUUUGUUUCCCAUGCAACGUUUCCCUACAGAUACCUCAUCCCCUUUUAAUGGUAUGGGUUUCCUAUGGACUCAAUUGUGAUUUCUCACAUAGAAGCAAAAUGUAGAGUCUUGAAGCUUGUUGCCAAUUGAUGUUCCUUGCACCUAGGGAAUCUCCUCACAAUCCUUUGCCAAUUGGUGUCUAGAUUUCUCUGAAACUGAAAGAUUAGGACAAAAUGUUCAAUGCACUGGAGAUAUCGAAAGAUAUUCUUGAGUCUCAACCAAUUGUGUUUGGUGGAUCCAAUGCAUGCACGGUGAUAUGGAACCAUAGGUCCCAACAUCUUAUUUCCAUCUCCUCAUGGUAUAGAUGAAUCAUUCUCUAAGUCUAGAGAACGAAUAACCAUGGAAAUUAUGAAUGGAUAAUACUUGUCCAUAAUCAAUUCCUUCAAUAGAAUCUGGAUAUAGACAACAUGGUGUACCAUAUUAUAUGGGUGAAGGUGUUCGAGUUUUCACCCAAAUCUUUCAUCUCAAAUUCCGUCAUUUAGAUGAUCAGAUGCUUAACAUGAAUGGG
RNAcentral lists this long non-coding RNA (865 nucleotides) under Hordeum vulgare. Its description in RNAcentral is "long non-coding RNA (HVUL_LNC019572)". The record is from RNAcentral. Lineage: Eukaryota; Viridiplantae; Streptophyta; Magnoliopsida; Poales; Poaceae.